Molecule: ribosomal RNA, 665 nt
Filed under: Salmonella enterica
Lineage: Bacteria; Pseudomonadati; Pseudomonadota; Gammaproteobacteria; Enterobacterales; Enterobacteriaceae
Also listed under: 2 other names
Description: partial 23S ribosomal RNA
Rfam family: Bacterial large subunit ribosomal RNA
Source: RNAcentral
UUUGACUGGGGCGGUCUCCUCCUAAAGAGUAACGGAGGAGCACGAAGGUUGGCUAAUCCUGGUCGGACAUCAGGAGGUUAGUGCAAUGGCAUAAGCCAGCUUGACUGCGAGCGUGACGGCGCGAGCAGGUGCGAAAGCAGGUCAUAGUGAUCCGGUGGUUCUGAAUGGAAGGGCCAUCGCUCAACGGAUAAAAGGUACUCCGGGGAUAACAGGCUGAUACCGCCCAAGAGUUCAUAUCGACGGCGGUGUUUGGCACCUCGAUGUCGGCUCAUCACAUCCUGGGGCUGAAGUAGGUCCCAAGGGUAUGGCUGUUCGCCAUUUAAAGUGGUACGCGAGCUGGGUUUAGAACGUCGUGAGACAGUUCGGUCCCUAUCUGCCGUGGGCGCUGGAGAACUGAGGGGGGCUGCUCCUAGUACGAGAGGACCGGAGUGGACGCAUCACUGGUGUUCGGGUUGUCAUGCCAAUGGCACUGCCCGGUAGCUAAAUGCGGAAGAGAUAAGUGCUGAAAGCAUCUAAGCACGAAACUUGCCCCGAGAUGAGUUCUCCCUGAGACUUUAGGUCUCCUGAAGGAACGUUGAAGACGACGACGUUGAUAGGCCGGGUGUGUAAGCGCAGCGAUGCGUUGAGCUAACCGGUACUAAUGAACCGUGAGGCUUAACCUUACA